AACGAACGCUGGCGGCGUGCCUAACACAUGCAAGUCGUGCGAGAAAGUUCCUUCGGGAGCGAGUAAAGCGGCGCACGGGUGAGUAACACGUAGGUAACCUGCCCCCCAGUCUGGAACAACUAGAGGAAACUCUAGCUAAUGCCGGAUGAGACCACGAUCCCUUCGGGGGUUGCGGCCAAAGAUGGCCUCUACUUGUAAGCUAUCGCUGAGGGAUGGGCCUGCGGGCCAUUAGCUUGUGGUGAGGUAACGGCUCACCAAGGCUGUGAUGGCUAGCUGGUCUGAGAGGAUGACCAGCCACACUGGGACUGAGACACGGCCCAGACUCCUACGGGAGCAGCAGUGGGAAUA
RNAcentral lists this ribosomal RNA (348 nucleotides) under uncultured bacterium. RNAcentral's name for it is "bacterial SSU rRNA". It matches the Rfam family "Bacterial small subunit ribosomal RNA", at positions 29 to 363 of the family's 1533-position model. The record is from RNAcentral.